This 253-nucleotide ribosomal RNA is filed under the name uncultured bacterium. Its description in RNAcentral is "partial 16S ribosomal RNA". It matches the Rfam family "Bacterial small subunit ribosomal RNA", at positions 524 to 776 of the family's 1533-position model. The record is from RNAcentral.
UACAGAGGUCUCAAGCGUUGUUCGGAUUCAUUGGGCGUAAAGGGUGCGUAGGCGGCGCGGUAAGUCGGGUGUGAAAUCUCGGGGCUUAACUCCGAAACUGCAUUCGAUACUGCCGUGCUUGAGGACUGGAGAGGAGACUGGAAUUUACGGUGUAGCGGUGAAAUGCGUAGAUAUCGGGAGGAACGCCAGUGGCGAAGGCGGCUUCCUGGCCUGUCCCUGACGCUGAGACGCGAAAGCUGGGGGAGCGAACGGG